AUGGCUCCUCGCUUCCAAAUCCUCGCGAGUGGGGAUGGCGCCCGCCGCCGCAGCUCGCGCCUCCACUCCCAAAUCCAUGCGAGUGAGGAUGGCGCCCCCCGUCGUAGCCCGCGCCUCCACCCCCAAAUCCACGCGAGUGGGGAUGGCGCCGGAGUGACCCAUCGACACCGCCGCACAUCACAGGCGGCGACUGCCUCCCUGCCGGAGAGAUGGCGGGGCCUCAUCAUCGACCCAAAGUUCAUCAACAGCUUCUGCGCCCACCACCAGAAGCCACCUCUACUCGGCUUCAUCAAGGGAACCAGGUUCAACCCACUCCUCGUCGCUCCCGACUGGAUACCUAGCCUCUCCAGGCUCGGCCAGUACGGUGAUGGGCGCCGGUACCAUGUGCAUGAUAUCCACCACGGUCUCGUUCUCACCAGUAAAAUCUUGCUGGGGGAGGGGGUUUAUUUUGUGUGGGACCCCAUCACCGGCGAGCAGCGCGGCGUGCCUGUUCCGGCGAAGUUAACGAGGGGGAUUUUUCUCCACUGUCCGGUGGUCUGCGCUGCCAGCGACCAAGGCCAUGUGCACGACAGCUGCCACUCGCGCCCCUUGAAGGUGGUUCUGAUGCCCGCUUGCACAACUUGUCCCACCGCAUUUGUUUAUUCCCCAGAGACCGGCAUAUUUAGGAAUAUCAAUAUCACCUCGCUACAGCCUGCACUUCAGAGUUAUCUAGAGCGUACAGUUCGUGCUACUCUUGUUGGUAAUGUGCUCUACUGGGUGUCCAGUUGUAACCAUAUUUUAGAGUUUGCUUUGGACGAGUACAACCUAGUGGCGACCAUGGCGCCUCAGGCUAGAGGAGAAUUGCGAAAUGGCCGACAACAUGUGAUACUCGCUGAUGAUGGUGAUGUUGGCUUUACUAUACCAUUCUUUCCUCGCUUCUAA
This 921-nucleotide ribosomal RNA is filed under the name Triticum aestivum (bread wheat). RNAcentral describes it as "partial small subunit ribosomal RNA". The record is from RNAcentral. Lineage: Eukaryota; Viridiplantae; Streptophyta; Magnoliopsida; Poales; Poaceae.